Molecule: ribosomal RNA, 465 nt
Filed under: uncultured bacterium
Lineage: Bacteria
Description: partial 16S ribosomal RNA
Rfam family: Bacterial small subunit ribosomal RNA
Source: RNAcentral
CCUACGGGCGGCAGCAGUGGGGAAUAUUGCGCAAUGGGCGAAAGCCUGACGCAGCGACGCCGCGUGAGGGAUGAAGGUCUUCGGAUCGUACACCUCUGUCAGCAGGGAAGAACGGUCACUGUGCUAAUCAGCAGUGAAUUGACGGUACCUGCAAAGGAAGCACCGGCUAACUCCGUGCCAGCAGCUGCGGUAAUACGGGGGGUGCGAGCGUUAAUCGGAAUUACUGGGCGUAAAGCGCUCGUAGGCGGUAUGGCAAGUCAAGGGUGAAAUCCCCGCGCGCAACGUGGGAACUGCCUUUGAAACUGGCAAACUGGAGUGUGUGAGAGGAUAGUGGAAUUCCAGGUGUAGGAGUGAAAUCCGUAGAUAUCUGGAGGAACAUCAGUGGCGAAGGCGACUAUCUGGCACAUAACUGACGCUGAGGAGCGAAAGCGUGGGUAGCAAACAGGAUUAGAUACCCCAGUAGUC